RNAcentral lists this ribosomal RNA (112 nucleotides) under Sinocyclocheilus rhinocerous. The record is from RNAcentral. Lineage: Eukaryota; Metazoa; Chordata; Actinopteri; Cypriniformes; Cyprinidae.
AAUUUAAAAAAAGUCUGCUCCCGAUCUCGUCUGAUCUCGGAAGCUAAGCAGGGUCGGGCCUGGUUAGUACUUAGAUGGGAGGCCGCCUGGGAAUACCAGGUGCUGUAAGCUU